This 437-nucleotide ribosomal RNA is filed under the name Salmonella enterica. Its description in RNAcentral is "bacterial SSU rRNA". The record is from RNAcentral. Lineage: Bacteria; Pseudomonadati; Pseudomonadota; Gammaproteobacteria; Enterobacterales; Enterobacteriaceae.
CUUCCGGAGCUAACGCGUUAAGUAGACCGCCUGGGGAGUACGGCCGCAAGGUUAAAACUCAAAUGAAUUGACGGGGGCCCGCACAAGCGGUGGAGCAUGUGGUUUAAUUCGAUGCAACGCGAAGAACCUUACCUGGUCUUGACAUCCACRGAASUUUYCAGAGAUGAGAAUGUGCCUUCGGGAACCGUGAGACAGGUGCUGCAUGGCUGUCGUCAGCUCGUGUUGUGAAAUGUUGGGUUAAGUCCCGCAACGAGCGCAACCCUUAUCCUUUGUUGCCAGCGAUUAGGUCGGGAACUCAAAGGAGACUGCCAGUGAUAAACUGGAGGAAGGUGGGGAUGACGUCAAGUCAUCAUGGCCCUUACGACCAGGGCUACACACGUGCUACAAUGGCGCAUACAAAGAGAAGCGACCUCGCGAGAGCAAGCGGACCUCAUAAA